AUGAAGCGGUCAUCUGCAAGAGCCGGUGCCGUGACAGCUUUAAGCCGGGCCAAGGCAUGGCUAACAGAGCUAGACCCGACCGAGAUAGCUACUGGGUACCCAAGCUUAAAGGAAGAUGGCACUCCCUUUGAGAAGAAAGACUUUGCUGCCUGCGUAAAGGAGAUACGUCCCCUGGCCAGCCUGAUUGCAAAUGAAACGGAUCUUUCAAAAUACCAACCGGCUUAUAACAUGGAGAAUCAGAAGAUGCCCACGCCGGCUUAUAAAGUGAUGGAUCUAAUCCCCCAAUUUGUAAGCAUACUUUCGCCCCUGAAGUUGAACCGUCUGAACUUAUAG
RNAcentral lists this ribosomal RNA (333 nucleotides) under Triticum aestivum (bread wheat). Its description in RNAcentral is "partial small subunit ribosomal RNA". Lineage: Eukaryota; Viridiplantae; Streptophyta; Magnoliopsida; Poales; Poaceae. The record is from RNAcentral.